This 652-nucleotide non-coding RNA is filed under the name Drosophila persimilis. RNAcentral describes it as "Eukaryotic large subunit ribosomal RNA". It matches the Rfam family "Eukaryotic large subunit ribosomal RNA", at positions 2808 to 3401 of the family's 3401-position model. Lineage: Eukaryota; Metazoa; Arthropoda; Insecta; Diptera; Drosophilidae. The record is from Rfam by way of RNAcentral.
AGAAAACGUUCCAUUAGGGGAUCGAAGGGAUCUGGGCGCCCAGGGGUUAAUCACAGAAGUCGCUUUUUGUGAUCUUUUGAUUGUCGGCUCUUUCCUAUUCAUUGGGGAAGCAAAAAUCACAAAGCGUUGGAUUGUUUCACCCAUGCAAAGGAAACGUGAGCUGGGUUAAGACCGUCGUGAGACAGGUUAGUUUUACCCUACUAAUGACAAAACGUUGUUGCGACAGCAUUCCUGCGUAGUACGAGAGGAACCGCAGGUACGGACCAAUGGCACAAUACUUGUUCGAGCGAACAGUGGUAUGACGCUACGUCCCGUUGGAUUAUGCCUGAACGCCUCUAAGGUCGUAUCCGUGCUGGACUGCAAUGAUAAAUAAGGGGCAAUUUGCAUUGUAUGGCUUCUAAACCAUUAAAAGUUUAUAAUUUAUUUUAUAAACGACAAUGGAUGUGAUGCCAAUGUAAUUUGUAACAUAGUAAAUUGGGAGGAUCAUCGAUCACCUGAUGCCGCGCUAGUUGCAUAUAAAAACAUUAUUUAAUACAAUGACAAAGCCUAGAAUCAAUUGUAAACGACUUUUGUAACAGGCAAGGUGUUGUAAGUGGUUGAGCAGCUGCCAUACUGCGAUCCACUGAAGCUUAUCCUUUGCUUGAUGAUUCGA